AAGAAGAGAAAGGUCAGCAGAAAUGACGGGAGGAGGAAGAGGAAAACUGGAAGGAGUGAAAAAAAAAGGAGAGAAGAAACGUGGAACUAAGCGAGACAGCUGAAAAAAUGACUCACAAGAUGCAAGUGAUGCAACAGUUCUCACAACAGCACAAAUUCACCCGUCUUUCAUGUAAGUAUUUCACAGUCCUGCUUUCCAGGACAACGACACAGAUCCUUGUUAUCCACGAUGUUAUGAAGCCUAUUGGUGAGGAGUUCAGUAUUGAUUAGUUCUAGCCCCAGUAUUUAGUUUUCUGGGUGAAUGCCACCGAGAUAGCGAGGUGCCUGCUGAGCACAAGGGCACAGCCAAGCCUCCAGCUAUGCAUCCCUUUGUUUUAGUUUGCUCGUGCCACGCUUUGAGGAUGGUUUUAGCUUGCAAUGUUGUUUGUCUCUGGCUUUUUUUUUUUUCACGAGCGUUUGGUGAGGAUGUCAACACAUCACAGGGCUGGCUGUCCAUGGAUUCAUGUGGGAAGGAGAGAUGGUUGUCACUGCCAACAGCUCUAAUACAGACCUGAGCAGUCUCACUGCAAGCCUUCAGGAAAUCAGGUUCACUUGUUCAGUGCAUCUGGGUGCUUCUGAUUUGAUGCUAGCAGUGAUGUCAGUGACUUAGCAUCACUGCUGUUUGCUGACACCUUU
RNAcentral lists this long non-coding RNA (674 nucleotides) under Gallus gallus (chicken). Its description in RNAcentral is "long non-coding RNA NONGGAT011773". The record is from RNAcentral. Lineage: Eukaryota; Metazoa; Chordata; Aves; Galliformes; Phasianidae.